GACGAACGCUGGCGGCGUGCUUAACACAUGCAAGUCGAACGGAAAGGCCCUGCUUUUGUGGGGUGCUCGAGUGGCGAACGGGUGAGUAACACGUGAGUAACCUGCCCUUGACUUUGGGAUAACUUCAGGAAACUGGGGCUAAUACCGUAUCGGAGCUCCUGCUGCAUGGUGGGGGUUGGAAAGUUUCGGCGGUCGGGGAUGGACUCGCGGCUUAUCAGCUUGUUGGUGGGGUAGUGGCUUACCAAGGCUUUGACGGGUAGCCGGCCUGAGAGGGUGACCGGGCACAUUGGGACUGAGAUACGGCCCAGACUCCUACGGGAGGCAGCAGUGGGGAAUAUUGCACAAUGGGCGGAAGCCUGAUGCAGCAACGCCGCGGGCGGGAUGACGGCCUGCGGGUUGUAAACCGCUUUCGCCUGUGACGAAGCGUGAGUGACGGUAAUGGGUAAAGAAGCACCGGCUAACUACGUG
RNAcentral lists this ribosomal RNA (468 nucleotides) under uncultured bacterium. RNAcentral's name for it is "partial 16S ribosomal RNA". It matches the Rfam family "Bacterial small subunit ribosomal RNA", at positions 28 to 507 of the family's 1533-position model. The record is from RNAcentral.